RNAcentral lists this ribosomal RNA (305 nucleotides) under uncultured bacterium. RNAcentral's name for it is "bacterial SSU rRNA". It matches the Rfam family "Bacterial small subunit ribosomal RNA", at positions 331 to 630 of the family's 1533-position model. The record is from RNAcentral.
CCGAACCUACGGGGCGCAGCAGUAGGGCCUUUUCGUCCCUGGGCGCAAGCCUGAACGAGCGAUGCCGCGUGAGUGAAGAAGGCCUUCGAGUCGUAAAGCUCUGUUGCGGGGGAAAAAAGGCAGCAUCAGGAAAUGGGUGCUGACUGAUGGUGCCCCGCCAGAAAGUCACGGCUAACUACGUGCCAGCAGCCGCGGUAAUACGUAGGUGGCGAGCGUUAUCCGGAAUGAUUGGGCGUAAAGGGUGCGCAGGCGGUCCUGCAAGUCUGGAGUGAAACGCAUGAGCUCAACUCAUGCAUGGCUUUGGA